RNAcentral lists this ribosomal RNA (829 nucleotides) under Microbacterium sp. MOLA 1545. RNAcentral describes it as "bacterial SSU rRNA". It matches the Rfam family "Bacterial small subunit ribosomal RNA", at positions 23 to 863 of the family's 1533-position model. Lineage: Bacteria; Bacillati; Actinomycetota; Actinomycetes; Micrococcales; Microbacteriaceae. The record is from RNAcentral.
CUCAGGAUGAACGCUGGCGGCGUGCUUAACACAUGCAAGUCGAACGGUGAAAGAGAGCUUGCUCUCUGGAUCAGUGGCGAACGGGUGAGUAACACGUGAGCAAUCUGCCCCUGACUCUGGGAUAAGCGCUGGAAACGGCGUCUAAUACCGGAUACGAGCUGCGAAGGCAUCUUCAGCAGCUGGAAAGAACUUCGGUCAGGGAUGAGCUCGCGGCCUAUCAGCUAGUUGGUGAGGUAAUGGCUCACCAAGGCGUCGACGGGUAGCCGGCCUGAGAGGGUGACCGGCCACACUGGGACUGAGACACGGCCCAGACUCCUACGGGAGGCAGCAGUGGGGAAUAUUGCACAAUGGGCGCAAGCCUGAUGCAGCAACGCCGCGUGAGGGACGACGGCCUUCGGGUUGUAAACCUCUUUUAGCAGGGAAGAAGCGAAAGUGACGGUACCUGCAGAAAAAGCACCGGCUAACUACGUGCCAGCAGCCGCGGUAAUACGUAGGGUGCAAGCGUUAUCCGGAAUUAUUGGGCGUAAAGAGCUCGUAGGCGGUUUGUCGCGUCUGCUGUGAAACCCCGAGGCUCAACCUCGGGCCUGCAGUGGGUACGGGCAGACUAGAGUGCGGUAGGGGAGAUUGGAAUUCCUGGUGUAGCGGUGGAAUGCGCAGAUAUCAGGAGGAACACCGAUGGCGAAGGCAGAUCUCUGGGCCGUAACUGACGCUGAGGAGCGAAAGGGUGGGGAGCAAACAGGCUUAGAUACCCUGGUAGUCCACCCCGUAAACGUUGGGAACUAGUUGUGGGGUCCAUUCCACGGAUUCCGUGACGCAGCUAACGCAUUAA